GGUUAAGCGACUAAGCGUACACGGUGGAUGCCCUGGCAGUCAGAGGCGAUGAAGGACGUGCUAAUCUGCGAUAAGCGUCGGUAAGGUGAUAUGAACCGUUAUAACCGGCGAUUUCCGAAUGGGGAAACCCAGUGUGAUUCGUCACACUAUCAUUACGUGAAUACAUAGCGUAAUGAAGCGAACCGGGGGAACUGAAACAUCUAAGUACCCCGAGGAAAAGAAAUCAACCGAGAUUCCCCCAGUAGCGGCGAGCGAACGGGGAGCAGCCCAGAGUCUGAAUCAGCUUGUGUGUUAGUGGAACGGUCUGGAAAGUCCGACGGUACAGGGUGAUAGUCCCGUACACCAAAAUGCACAGGUUGUGAACUCGAAGAGUAGGGCGGGACACGUGGUAUCCUGUCUGAAUAUGGGGGGACCAUCCUCCAAGGCUAAAUACUCCUGACUGACCGAUAGUGAACCAGUACCGUGAGGGAAAGGCGAAAAGAACCCCGGCGAGGGGAGUGAAAAAGAACCUGAAACCGUGUACGUACAAGCAGUGGGAGCAUCCUUUUGGGUGUGACUGCGUACCUUUUGUAUAAUGGGUCAGCGACUUAUAUUCUGUAGCAAGGUUAACCGUAUAGGGGAGCCGAAGGGAAACCGAGUCUUAACUGGGCGUUAAGUUGCAGGGUAUAGACCCGAAACCCGGUGAUCUAGCCAUGGGCAGGUUGAAGGUUGGGUAACACUAACUGGAGGACCGAACCGACUAAUGUUGAAAAAUUAGCGGAUGACUUGUGGCUGGGGGUGAAAGGCCAAUCAAACCGGGAGAUAGCUGGUUCUCCCCGAAAGCUAUUUAGGUAGCGCCUCGUGAAUUCAUCUUCGGGGGUAGAGCACUGUUUCGGCUAGGGGGUCAUCCCGACUUACCAACCCGAUGCAAACUGCGAAUACCGAAGAAUGUUAUCACGGGAGACACACGGCGGGUGCUAACGUCCGUCGUGAAGAGGGAAACAACCCAGACCGCCAGCUAAGGUCCCAAAGUCAUGGUUAAGUGGGAAACGAUGUGGGAAGGCACAGACAGCCAGGAUGUUGGCUUAGAAGCAGCCAUCAUUUAAAGAAAGCGUAAUAGCUCACUGGUCGAGUCGGCCUGCGCGGAAGAUGUAACGGGGCUAAACCAUGCACCGAAGCUGCGGCAGCGACACUAUGUGUUGUUGGGUAGGGGAGCGUUCUGUAAGCCGUUGAAGGUGUAUCGUGAGGUAUGCUGGAGGUAUCAGAAGUGCGAAUGCUGACAUAAGUAACGAUAAUGCGGGUGAAAAACCCGCACGCCGGAAGACCAAGGGUUCCUGUCCAACGUUAAUCGGGGCAGGGUGAGUCGACCCCUAAGGCGAGGCCGAAAGGCGUAGUCGAUGGGAAACAGGUUAAUAUUCCUGUACUUGGUGUUACUGCGAAGGGGGGACGGAGAAGGCUAUGUUAGCCGGGCGACGGUUGUCCCGGUUUAAGCAUGUAGGCGGAGGUUCCAGGUAAAUCCGGUACCUUUUUAACGCUGAGGUGUGAUGACGAGGCACUACGGUGCUGAAGUAACAAAUGCCCUGCUUCCAGGAAAAGCCUCUAAGCAUCAGGUAACACAAAAUCGUACCCCAAACCGACACAGGUGGUCAGGUAGAGAAUACCAAGGCGCUUGAGAGAACUCGGGUGAAGGAACUAGGCAAAAUGGUGCCGUAACUUCGGGAGAAGGCACGCUGAUAUGUAGGUGAAGUGAUUUACUCAUGGAGCUGAAAUCAGUCGAAGAUACCAGCUGGCUGCAACUGUUUAUUAAAAACACAGCACUGUGCAAACACGAAAGUGGACGUAUACGGUGUGACGCCUGCCCGGUGCCGGAAGGUUAAUUGAUGGGGUUAUCCGUAAGGAGAAGCUCUUGAUCGAAGCCCCGGUAAACGGCGGCCGUAACUAUAACGGUCCUAAGGUAGCGAAAUUCCUUGUCGGGUAAGUUCCGACCUGCACGAAUGGCGUAAUGAUGGCCAGGCUGUCUCCACCCGAGACUCAGUGAAAUUGAACUCGCUGUGAAGAUGCAGUGUACCCGCGGCAAGACGGAAAGACCCCGUGAACCUUUACUAUAGCUUGACACUGAACACUGGUCCUUGAUGUGUAGGAUAGGUGGGAGGCUUUGAAGUGUGGACGCCAGUCUGCAUGGAGCCAUCCUUGAAAUACCACCCUUUAAUGGCUGGUGUUCUAACGUGGACCCGUAAUCCGGGUUGCGGACAGUGUCUGGUGGGUAGUUUGACUGGGGCGGUCUCCUCCUAAAGAGUAACGGAGGAGCACGAAGGUUAGCUAAUCCUGGUCGGACAUCAGGAGGUUAGUGCAAAGGCAUAAGCUAGCUUGACUGCGAGAGUGACGGCUCGAGCAGGUGCGAAAGCAGGUCUUAGUGAUCCGGUGGUUCUGAAUGGAAGGGCCAUCGCUCAACGGAUAAAAGGUACUCCGGGGAUAACAGGCUGAUACCGCCCAAGAGUUCAUAUCGACGGCGGUGUUUGGCACCUCGAUGUCGGCUCAUCACAUCCUGGGGCUGAAGUAGGUCCCAAGGGUAUGGCUGUUCGCCAUUUAAAGUGGUACGCGAGCUGGGUUUAGAACGUCGUGAGACAGUUCGGUCCCUAUCUGCCGUGGGCGCUGGAGAAUUGAGGGGGGCUGCUCCUAGUACGAGAGGACCGGAGUGGACGCAUCACUGGUGUUCGGGUUGUCAUGCCAAUGGCAUUGCCCGGUAGCUAAAUGCGGAAGAGAUAAGUGCUGAAAGCAUCUAAGCACGAAACUUGCCCCGAGAUGAGUUCUCCCUGAGACUUUAAGUCUCCUGAAGGAACGUUGAAGACGACGACGUUGAUAGGUCGGGUGUGUAAGCGUAGCGAUACGUUGAGCUAACCGAUACUAAUGAACCGUGAGGCUUAACCUU
RNAcentral lists this ribosomal RNA (2908 nucleotides) under Citrobacter freundii. Its description in RNAcentral is "23S ribosomal RNA". It matches the Rfam family "Bacterial large subunit ribosomal RNA". Lineage: Bacteria; Pseudomonadati; Pseudomonadota; Gammaproteobacteria; Enterobacterales; Enterobacteriaceae. The record is from RNAcentral.